Molecule: ribosomal RNA, 488 nt
Filed under: uncultured bacterium
Lineage: Bacteria
Description: bacterial SSU rRNA
Rfam family: Bacterial small subunit ribosomal RNA
Source: RNAcentral
UGAACGCUAGCUACAGGCUUAACACAUGCAAGUCGAGGGGCAGCAUGGUCUUAGCUUGCUAAGGCCGAUGGCGACCGGCGCACGGGUGAGUAACACGUAUCCAACCUGCCGUCUACUCUUGGACAGCCUUCUGAAAGGAAGAUUAAUACAAGAUGGCAUCAUGAGUCCGCAUGUUCACAUGAUUAAAGGUAUUCCGGUAGACGAUGGGGAUGCGUUCCAUUAGAUAGUAGGCGGGGUAACGGCCCACCUAGCCAACGAUGGAUAGGGGUUCUGAGAGGAAGGUCCCCCACAUUGGAACUGAGACACGGUCCAAACUCCUACGGGAGGCAGCAGUGAGGAAUAUUGGUCAAUGGACGAGAGUCUGAACCAGCCAAGUAGCGUGAAGGAUGAAGGUCCUACGGAUUGUAAACUUCUUUUAUAAGGGAAUAAACCCUCCCACGUGUGGGAGCUUGUAUGUACCUUAUGAAUAAGCAUCGGCUAACUCCGUG